AUAUAGACCUGCCCGGGGAGAUACCAUGAUCAAUAGAAAGUGGUUUUCCUAGGGCAAGGUUUGUCCAUUAUACUUGGGAUGAGCUAACCCCUGCGAUUUCCCCAAAUACUGAAAAUUCCACUGCCUAAUUUGUGGUAGUUGGGGACUUCACUCUCUCCCUCC
RNAcentral lists this small nuclear RNA (162 nucleotides) under Mus pahari (shrew mouse). RNAcentral describes it as "predicted gene, 23376 (MGP_PahariEiJ_G0033615.1)". It matches the Rfam family "U1 spliceosomal RNA". Rfam says of the family: U1 is a small nuclear RNA (snRNA) component of the spliceosome (involved in pre-mRNA splicing). Its 5' end forms complementary base pairs with the 5' splice junction, thus defining the 5' donor site of an intron. Lineage: Eukaryota; Metazoa; Chordata; Mammalia; Rodentia; Muridae. The record is from RNAcentral.